GAUGAAUGCUGGCGGCGUGCCUAAUACAUGCAAGUCGAGCGGUAAGGCCCUUCGGGGUACACGAGCGGCGGACGGCUGAGUAACGCGUGGGAACAUGCCCCAAAGUGAGGGAUAACGCACCGAAAGGUGUGCUAAUACCGCAUAUGGUCUUCGGAUUAAAGGAUUUAUCCGCUUUGGGAGUGGCCCGCGUACGAUUAGAUUGUUGGUGAGGUAACGGCUCACCAAGUCGACGAUCGUUAACUGGUCUGAGAGGAUGAUCAGUCAGACUGGAACUGAGACACGGUCCAGACUCCUACGGGAGGCAGCAGUAAGGAAUCUUCCACAAUGGGCGAAAGCCUGAUGGAGCAACGCCGCGUGCAGGAUGAAGGCCCUCGGGUCGUAAACUGCUUUAUGAGUGAAGAAUAUGACGGUAACUCAUGAAUAAGCACCGGCUAACUACGUGCCAGCAGCCGCGGU
This 456-nucleotide ribosomal RNA is filed under the name uncultured bacterium. RNAcentral describes it as "bacterial SSU rRNA". It matches the Rfam family "Bacterial small subunit ribosomal RNA", at positions 28 to 521 of the family's 1533-position model. The record is from RNAcentral.